GGGAAUCUACCGUGCCCUGCGGAAUAGCUCCGGGAAACUGGAAUUAAUACCGCAUACGCCCUACGGGGGAAAGAUUUAUCGGGGUAUGAUGAGCCCGCGUUGGAUUAGCUAGUUGGUGGGGUAAAGGCCUACCAAGGCGACGAUCCAUAGCUGGUCUGAGAGGAUGAUCAGCCACAUUGGGACUGAGACACGGCCCAAACUCCUACGGGAGGCAGCAGUGGGGAAUAUUGGACAAUGGGCGCAAGCCUGAUCCAGCCAUGCCGCGUGAGUGAUGAAGGCCCUAGGGUUGUAAAGCUCUUUCAGUGGGGACGAUAAUGACGGUACCCACAGAAGAAGCCCCGGCUAACUUCGUGCCAGCAGCCGCGGUAAUACGAAGGGGGCUAGCGUUGUUCGGAAUUACUGGGCGUAAAGCGCACGUAGGCGGAUAUUUAAGUCAGGGGUGAAAUCCCGGGGCUCAACCCCGGAACUGCCUUUGAUACUGGAUGUCUUGAGUCCGGAAGAGGUGAGUGGAAUUGCGAGU
RNAcentral lists this ribosomal RNA (520 nucleotides) under uncultured bacterium. Its description in RNAcentral is "bacterial SSU rRNA". It matches the Rfam family "Bacterial small subunit ribosomal RNA", at positions 120 to 674 of the family's 1533-position model. The record is from RNAcentral.